Molecule: transfer RNA, 66 nt
Filed under: Pronomaeini gen. sp. 1 ZMUN 10029218
Lineage: Eukaryota; Metazoa; Arthropoda; Insecta; Coleoptera; Staphylinidae
Description: tRNA-Leu
Rfam family: tRNA
About the family: Transfer RNA (tRNA) molecules are approximately 80 nucleotides in length.
Source: RNAcentral
GUUAUUUUGGCAGAUUAGUGCAUUAAAUUUAGAAUUUAAUAAUGUAGAUUUAACUACAAAUAAUAC